CCUUAAUCCUGGACUUCCUGGCCUCCAGAACUGUGAGCCAAAUAUUAUAUUUGUGGAUUUUCAUAGUUCUUGACUUCUUAUACAAUCGGAGAAUUAGUGGAGGCUGGUUAUAAGUAGUAAGCAUGACUCAAGUUUAAGUGUGUGUCAAACUGGAGAUGGAGGAAUAAGAAACACUUGGCAACUUCAAAGCUCUCACUUUCUUCUGGAGGAAGAGACAGAUAAGUGUAGGUAUAUGCAAAAUGACACUCGCGAUAGACUUAGUAAGCAUGCUGGCAGAAGUUUG
This is a long non-coding RNA of Homo sapiens (human), 283 nucleotides long. RefSeq lists it as uncharacterized. The transcript has 3 exons. NCBI's taxonomy places the organism in Eukaryota, Metazoa, Chordata, Mammalia, Primates, Hominidae. The record is from RefSeq and is a predicted model, not a curated record.